GUCGAGUUUAAUCAAUACGAGUGGGUGCUUUGCAGCCAGGCUGACUGAGUCAGAAUCCUGGUUCCAAAAUAGCUAAAUGGCUGUUUGGCUGUGAAAUACUCGGUCUCAGCUUUCUUAUUUGUAAAAUGGGCCUACUCAUAUUGUUGUGUGCACUGAGGUAAUUCAUAUAAAAGUGGUAAGAACACUAUAGGUGUGAAACGCAAUUGGGAGCUAAUAUUAUCUAUUAUUUUCCACAGAUUUUUAUGAUAUGAACACGAGAUUCUCGGUUUUGGAAGGCGACGUUGUUAGGAAAGCCACCUUGUGAAGACAGAUGUGAGUAACGUUACCACACAGUCGAAAGCAGACUGAAAACCUGCGGUGGGUGCCAUGCAGGAAUGAUCUAGAAGUGGUAAAGGUUAUCCCAGUGUCCACAUAGCUAAAGUCCCUUGGGAAAUCAUCCAAGCUCUCUCAACCAACUGGUUCACACAGACGGAGACUACAAUUUGGAACACUUCUUAUACAUGACGGUCUCCCUGAAAUAGCUAUUGAAUGCGGGGAGGUUUUGAAAGCUUUCUAUAAUCAUCUGCGGUUGAACUGAUGCUAUGCAGAGCUCCUGAAACUUCCAGAUGUGAUUCUGUAAUGACUGCCAACCUUUACUCUGCAUAAGAAUCACUGGGGUGCUUCCUAAAAAUGCAGAUUCCCGGGAUCUACCCCUAGGGACUCGAUUUCAGUAAGUCUGGGUGGAGCUGAGACUCCACGUUUGAAACAAACAUCUCCUGGGAUACUGAUGGACUGGAUCCAUGGAAUGGACAUUAAAAGACACUAUUAUAGGGGCUUCUGGGGGACUCAGUCGGUUAAGCAUCUGACUCUUGGUUUUGGCUCAGGUCAUGAUCUCACAGUUUCGUGAGUUUGAGCCCCGUGUGGGGCUCUGCUGGCAGCACGGGACCUGCUUGGGAUUCUCUCUCUCCCUCCCUCUUUGCCCCUCCCCCACUUGCACUGUCUGUCUCUCUCAAAAUAAAUAAACUUAAAAAAAAAACUAUUACAGAGGUUCAAAUCGUAUAAAUUUACAACCAAUUUUCAAAAUUGAAAAGUAAAUUCUGUAUCAAAUUUGAAACAGUCCUGGGAGCCAAAUGGAAAGUCAGCUCCUUUUCAGGAGGCACAGACAGAAUCAUCAUUCCCAGAGAAGGGAGGUUCCAUUUGCUUAGCUCUAUUAGUUUGCUGGGGGGACCGGUAAUGGGAUUCCCUGAGUUCCCUAUGACACACAAAUACAACAUAGAGAAGAUUAGCCUAGUGAUAAAACAAAAACAAAAACAAAAACAAAAACAAAAGCUAUGGGUUAGAAAGCCCAACUGUUGGGUUUGAAUCGCGGACCUGCUAUUUACAGCUGUGUGAUCUUGGGCAAGUCAGUUAACUUCUCAGCUUCCUUAUCCGUCAGACGAUCCCUACCUCAGAGGAUUGUUGUCAGGGUUACCUGGGUCAAUACAAACUGUCUAUAGCGGUGCCUGGCACAUGGUGGCCAUAUACGUGUUAGGUGUUAUGCUUCCGUUUCCACAUAAUGUUUCCUUCAAAGAGAGGAACAGUCAAGGCUAUGCUCGAUCAGGGGGCAAGAACCCAACGUAACCCUUAACUGAGCACCGAAAAUGGAGUCACGUGUUAAUGUAUGGGGAAAUCAGCCAUUUACUUUUGGUGAAAUGAAAAAGCAACAUCAUAUUGAUGAUCAUUUUUUUGGAGCAAUUAAAGUAACUUGCUGAUUUAAUAAACUGUGAUGUAUAAA
Long non-coding RNA from Neofelis nebulosa (Clouded leopard), 1753 nucleotides. RefSeq lists it as uncharacterized. The record is from RefSeq and is a predicted model, not a curated record. The transcript has 3 exons. NCBI's taxonomy places the organism in Eukaryota, Metazoa, Chordata, Mammalia, Carnivora, Felidae.